AGCGUUGAAAAGCUUCUGGAUGAGGUGAGUGUAGGAGUGAAAGGCCAAUCAAACUUGGAGAUAGCUCGUACUCCCCGAAAGGCAUUUAGGUGCCGCGUGGGAAGGUCAGCGUGAGAGGUAGAGCGACCGAUAGGUCAAGAGGGCUUCACCGCCUAUCGAGACCUGACGAACUCCGAAUGCUCACGCUUAGUAUUCCUGCAGUAAGGGGGCGGGUGCUAAGGUCCGUCCCCGAGAGGAGAAGAAUCCGGACCGCCGUCUAAGGUCCCGAAGUUCUGUCUGAGUUAGUCUAACGAAGUGUGGUCCCUGAGACAGCCAGGAUGUUGGCUUGGAAGCAGCCAUUCAUUCAAAGAGUGCGUAACAGCUCACUGGUCGAGGGUCCGUGCAUGGAUAAUAAUCGGGUAUAAGACAGGCACCGAAGGCGCGGGAUAGCAAAUAAUAAAAGUAUCGGUAGGGGAGCAUUCCAUCGGCGUAGAAUGCAGUGGGUGACUACUGCUGGAGCCUAUGGAAAAGCAAAUGUAGGUAUAAGUAACGAUUAGGAGGGCGAGAACCCCUCCCGCCGAACGACUAAGGUUUCCCAGGCAAUGCCAUUCAUCCUGGGGUCAGUCGGGUCCUAAGGCUAAGCCGAGCGGCGAGGCCGAUGGCAGACACGGUCAACAUUCCGUGACUACCGCCAUCAGUGAUGUCCAGACGGAGCAGUGACACCUCCGCGCCCUGACGGAAUAGGGCGUUGAAGGGCGUAGGCUAUGAUGAUGCCAGGCAAAUCCGGCAUCAGAGCUGAAACCUGAAAGUACGGGGUCCCCUUCGGGGGAACCUGACAGCGAGGGUAAGCAUACUCCCGAGAAAAUGGGCUAAACUCAUGUUGGCGGUACCCGUACCGCAAACCGACACAGGUAGUUGGGUAGAACAUACUAAGGCGUUGAGAGAUUCAUGGCUAAGGAACUAGGCAAACUGACCCCGUAACUUCGGGAUAAGGGGUCCUCACCUCCGGGUGAGGCGCAGAGAAUAGGUCCAGGCAACUGUUUAACAAAAACACAGGGCUGUGCGAACUCGAAAGAUGAAGUAUACAGCCUGACACCUGCCCGGUGCCGGAAGGUUAAGAGGAGAUGUCACCGCAAGGGAAGCAUUGAAUUGAAGCCCCGGUAAACGGCGGCCGUAACUAUAACGGUCCUAAGGUAGCGAAAUUCCUUGUCGGGUAAGUUCCGACCUGCACGAAUGGUGUAAUGAUCCGGACGCUGUCUCGGCCAUGAGCUCAGUGAAAUUGUAGUAUCGGUGAAGAUGCCGAUUACCCGCGAUGGGACGAAAAGACCCCGUGAACCUUUACUACAGCUUAGCAUUGACCUUGGUCAUCCGAUGUGUAGGAUAGGCCGGAGGCUUCGAAGCGGCGUCGCCAGGCGUUGUGGAGCCAUCCUUGAAAUACGGCCCUUUGGCUGUCUGAGGUCUAACGCGGAUAGUCGCGGACACUGCUUGGUGGGUAGUUUGACUGGGGUGGUCGCCUCCAAAAGCGUAACGGAGGCUUCCAAAGGUGCCCUCGGGCCGUUUGGUAAGCGGCCUUCAAGAGUGCAAUGGCAAAAGGGCGCUUGACUGGGAGGGAGACAUCCCGAGCAGGCAGGAAACUGGGGCAUAGUGAUCCGGCGGAUGUGUAUGGAAACUCCGUCGCUCAAAGGAUAAAAGGUACUCCGGGGAUAACAGGCUGAUCCCCCCCAAGAGCUCAUAUCGACGGGGUGGUUUGGCACCUCGAUGUCGGCUCGUCACAUCCUGGGGCUGGAGAAGGUCCCA
This 1776-nucleotide ribosomal RNA is filed under the name human gut metagenome. Its description in RNAcentral is "bacterial LSU rRNA". It matches the Rfam family "Bacterial large subunit ribosomal RNA", at positions 785 to 2567 of the family's 2925-position model. The record is from RNAcentral.